ACCACUAAUGUGAUAAACUCACCGGCAAGUCUAGCUUGGCCAAUUUCUUCUACAAAUACAAAAGGUAAUAAAAUUUUUAAUUUUCUUAUUGUGCGAAUUUUUUUGGGUAAGCCAUUAUGCACUCUUUCUUGUUUAAAUCCAACUGUUGUUUCCUACAAAAUGUACUUUCUGCUUUGAGAAGGAUUGUACAUGAGAAGGUAGGCAUGCGAGUGCUGCAUAGGUCAGUCUGAAUUUUAAAUGUUUGUGAUAAUUGAACCCAUUUUUGGCUGGAACAUUUUGCUUAGUGUUUGAAAUGUGAUUACAUCACAGUUCAUGGCCUUGUUCUUGGUUUGAAAAGUUCAAGCACUUUAUGGCUAAAAAGAGUUUAUUAUGUUUGAGCAGUGCUGAUAUUAAUCAUUCUCAGAUGAUAUACAAUUGUUUAUAGUCUAGGCUCUUUUCCUUUUAUUCUUUCCUUUACUUUCCUAUGUCCUGAAACUAAGAAUUAUGUGUGUUCGCUUAGGGGUUGUUUGAUUUUAAUUGAAUUCUAUAAAAUUUUGUGGAAUUCAAUUAAAUUCCAUAUAUCAUGUGCUUGGUUUGUAAAAAUUUUAAAAUUGAAUUCUUGAAAUUGAAUUUCAUGGAAUUGGUCAUUCAUCUCUAAGAUAAUGGAUUAAUUGGGAUUGUUCUGUUUGGUAUUGCUUGAUGCAAUAUUGCAAGAGACCAGAUAUGCCUUCUUAUUUUUUGGUAAUUGGAAAUCUCUUUUCUCUUUUAAUAGUCAUUUUUCUAAUAGUUUCUUAAGGAUUUUGAAAUGAUAAUGGAGUAUAGCUAUUUCUGGGGCUCAGCAGUUCGAGUAUUACUUGUGAAUAUUUUGUAAAUAUUUUAAGAAGGAAAAGCAAUUGUAUCAAUCUUACCGUAUCAUUGGUUUUUGGCAUUAAAUAAACAUGUGCAAAGCUCAGGUAACCUGCUAGUUAUUUUUAUUGUUGUACCUAUACCUGUUUGAUUAAUUGCGAAUUUUACUGUGCAAUGUUCUGCCUCAUGCUGGUUUUCAUAUAGCUGUACCUUCUUUAUAAAACUCAUUAUCUUUAGCAUAGAUACUGAUCAUACAGUUGGGAGUAUGCUUACAGCCUUUCUUUUUUUAUUGCAUUGCCUAUCAAUAUUGUGAAAUGGCAACAGAGGGUGCUAAAAGCUUUGCAAGG
Molecule: unclassified non-coding RNA, 1172 nt
Filed under: Hevea brasiliensis (rubber tree)
Lineage: Eukaryota; Viridiplantae; Streptophyta; Magnoliopsida; Malpighiales; Euphorbiaceae
Source: RNAcentral